This 271-nucleotide ribosomal RNA is filed under the name uncultured bacterium. RNAcentral's name for it is "partial 16S ribosomal RNA". It matches the Rfam family "Bacterial small subunit ribosomal RNA", at positions 84 to 354 of the family's 1533-position model. The record is from RNAcentral.
CCCGCCGGCGACCGGCGCACGGGUGAGUAACACGUAUGCAACCUGGCCGCCACAGGGGGAUAACCCGCGGAAACGCGGCCUAAUACCCCGUGACGCCACCGGAGGGCAUCCUCCGGUGGCCAAAGGAGCGAUCCGGUGGCGGAUGGGCAUGCGGCGCAUUAGCUAGACGGCGGGUGACGGCCCACCGUGGCGACGAUGCGUAGGGGUUCUGAGAGGAAGGCCCCCCACACUGGGACUGAGACACGGCCCAGACUCCUACGGAAGGCAGCAG